GGUUGCGUAGCUCAAUUGAAUAGAGCGUCUGACUACGGAUCAGAAGGCUAGGGGUUUGAAUCCCUUCGCGACCA
Molecule: transfer RNA, 74 nt
Filed under: Bacteroidota bacterium
Lineage: Bacteria; Pseudomonadati; Bacteroidota
Also listed under: 1 other name
Description: tRNA-Arg
Rfam family: tRNA
About the family: Transfer RNA (tRNA) molecules are approximately 80 nucleotides in length. Their secondary structure includes four short double-helical elements and three loops (D, anti-codon, and T loops).
Source: RNAcentral